ACGCUGGCGGCGUGCCUAACACAUGCAAGUCGAACGAGGUCCAUGCAGUGGCAACACUGCGGAAGACCUAGUGGCGAACGGUGAGUAACACGUGAGGAACCUGCCCCGAAGACCGGGAUAACCCUCCGAAAGGAGAGCUAAUACCGGAUACCCCCACCGGAUCGCAUGAUCUGGUGAGGAAAUGGAUUCCGCUUCGGGAGGGCCUCGCGGCCUAUCAGCUUGUUGGUGGGUAACGGCCCACCAAGGCAUCGACGGGUAGCUGGUCUGAGAGGACGAUCAGCCACACUGGGACUGAGACACGGCCCAGACUCCUACGGGAGGCAGCAGUGGGGAAUCUUGCGCAAUGGGCGAAAGCCUGACGCAGCAACGCCGCGUGGGGGAUGAAGGCUCUCGGGUUGUAAAACCCCUUUCAGCAGGGACGAAUCAAGACGGUACCUGCAGAAGAAGCCCCGGCUAACUACGUGCCAGCAGCCGCGGUAACACGUAGGGGGCAAGCGUUGUCCGG
Molecule: ribosomal RNA, 505 nt
Filed under: uncultured bacterium
Lineage: Bacteria
Description: bacterial SSU rRNA
Rfam family: Bacterial small subunit ribosomal RNA
Source: RNAcentral